This 403-nucleotide ribosomal RNA is filed under the name uncultured bacterium. RNAcentral's name for it is "bacterial SSU rRNA". It matches the Rfam family "Bacterial small subunit ribosomal RNA", at positions 917 to 1322 of the family's 1533-position model. The record is from RNAcentral.
GGGCCCGCACAAGCGGCGGAGCAUGCGGAUUAAUUCGAUGCAACGCGAAGAACCUUACCAAGGCUUGACAUAUAGAGGAAAAGUGCAGAAAUGCACUCCCCGCAAGGUCUCUAUACAGGUGGUGCAUGGUUGUCGUCAGCUCGUGUCGUGAGAUGUUGGGUUAAGUCCCGCAACGAGCGCAACCCUCGUCCUAUGUUGCCAGCACGUAAUGGUGGGAACUCAUGGGAUACUGCCGGGGUCAACUCGGAGGAAGGUGGGGAUGACGUCAAAUCAUCAUGCCCCUUAUGUCUUGGGCUUCACGCAUGCUACAAUGGCCGGUACAGAGGGCUGCAAUACCGUAAGGUGGAGCGAAUCCCAAAAAGCCGGUCUCAGUUCGGAUUGUCGUCUGCAACUCGACGGCAUG